GGCCCUAUCAUGAUGAACCAUUACGGAUGUAAAACUUUGCUUGUCUGAAAUGCGCAAACAAAACAAUGUUGAGACCUCCGUUGCCUUCCUUCUGAUCUUGUGG
This 103-nucleotide small nucleolar RNA is filed under the name Thermothielavioides terrestris NRRL 8126. Its description in RNAcentral is "Thielavia terrestris NRRL 8126 Small nucleolar RNA Z13/snr52". It matches the Rfam family "Small nucleolar RNA Z13/snr52". From Rfam's summary of the family: Z13 or snr52 is a member of the C/D class of snoRNA which contain the C (UGAUGA) and D (CUGA) box motifs. Most of the members of the box C/D family function in directing site-specific 2'-O-methylation of substrate RNAs. Lineage: Eukaryota; Fungi; Ascomycota; Sordariomycetes; Sordariales; Chaetomiaceae. The record is from Rfam by way of RNAcentral.